RNAcentral lists this ribosomal RNA (470 nucleotides) under uncultured Aminicenantes bacterium. Its description in RNAcentral is "bacterial SSU rRNA". It matches the Rfam family "Bacterial small subunit ribosomal RNA", at positions 920 to 1382 of the family's 1533-position model. Lineage: Bacteria; Candidatus Aminicenantota. The record is from RNAcentral.
CCCGCACAAGCGGUGGAGCAUGUGGUUUAAUUCGACGCUACGCGAAGAACCUUACCUGGGCUUGAACUGCUGGUGGUAGAAGCCCGAAAGGGUAACGACCCGGAGCAAUCCGGGAGCCAGUAGAGGUGCUGCAUGGCUGUCGUCAGCUCGUGUCGUGAGAUGUUGGGUUAAGUCCCGCAACGAGCGCAACCCUUACCCUUAGUUGCCAGCGGGUAAUGCCGGGCACUCUAAGGGGACCGCCCCGGAUAACGGGGAGGAAGGCGGGGAUGACGUCAAGUCAGCAUGGCCCUUAUGUCCAGGGCUACACACGUGCUACAAUGGGCGAUACAGAGGGAAGCAAGGCCGCAAGGUAGAGCUAAUCCCUAAAGUCGUCCUCAGUUCGGAUUGCAGGCUGCAACUCGCCUGCAUGAAGUCGGAAUCGCUAGUAAUCGCGGAUCAGCUACGCCGCGGUGAAUACGUUCUCGGGCCUU